Molecule: long non-coding RNA, 993 nt
Filed under: Androctonus crassicauda
Lineage: Eukaryota; Metazoa; Arthropoda; Arachnida; Scorpiones; Buthidae
Source: RNAcentral
CGGGCAUUAAUGUGUGCUGUGACGUCAUAGCAGGUAGGAAACCAACAUUGUGUCCACCGGUGUAUAUCCAUUUCGUCGAUUCCACCGGUGGAUCGGGUCUGACGAGCGUAACGGUUGGUGUGUUAGCCACACGCGUCAAACGGAAUGAUUUUGUGUUUGCUUUUGUAUUCAGCUUUUGAUCUUUCGGGAGAAAAAAGGCUAAAAUUAUCUGGCUAAUGACUAGUUGAUGCAUAUUUAACCAAUGAACUGCUAUCAAUUAGCUAUCGUUCUCAUCUUUCUUCCUUCUCUCCCCUCUUUCAGCGUUGCCACAGAAUAUAAGAAGUUAUUAGGUGUGAACGAAACAAUUUUUUCAAAAAUUUCCACUCGAUGGUAUUUUGAUCGUUUAUAUAGUACGUUCCUUUUAAAGAAAUUUAUUUUGGCAUUAAAGAGAAUUCAAUUUGUUUUAGAUUUUUAUCUUAAAAUAGUAAAUGAAACUAGGUUGUCGAUACAGAUAGAAAGACAUAUAUUAAAAGACAGGAGAAGAUAGAAGUAGAAUCUAAUAAUAUGCAAAACAGGACAAAUAUCGGGCUAGCUGCCUAUAAUAUUCCGACAAUACUGUCUUAUACUCUCAAAUUCAUUUAAUUCCUAAGUGACUGGCCAUUCGAAAUUCUCUAAUUGUAAUUAUAAUUUUAAAACGGCAAUUUUGGGUUAGAAGUAGAGAUAGUUUCUUCGACGCCAUCUUGGACCAUUGAUUAUUCCAUAUUCUCUUGGCUUGAUGGGUUUUCUUGUUUGUUACAUUUGAUGAUGAUAAAUUUGACUGACUGAUUGCGGCUUUUACUACUAACUUAAUUGUUGUUUGAGUAGAAACAUAUCCAAGAAAAUUGGAAAAUAAAAUUCACUGUUGUUUUACUUUUUUGAUUAAAACUGUAUUUUUUAUCUCACCAUCACCGAAAUUUUUAUGAUUUUAUAUAGUAGAAUAUUAAUUUCGGUUUUUUCGAUAUAAGUUUCUGGAAC